This is a long non-coding RNA of Orcinus orca (killer whale), 1274 nucleotides long. RefSeq lists it as uncharacterized. Lineage: Eukaryota; Metazoa; Chordata; Mammalia; Artiodactyla; Delphinidae. The record is from RefSeq and is a predicted model, not a curated record. The transcript is spliced from 2 exons.
GUGUGUGUGUGUGUGUGCGCGCGCGCGCGCGUGCACGAGCCGUGACUCUCACGCCCUCUGUGCCGGGUGAGGGGAGGAAGGGUGUUUUGUUGUGGACACUCCUGAGGCUAUUUUUGCCGCUUCGGAGACUGAAAGUGCCCCGAAGAGGGCGGAGGAGCAGCGGGUAAACCCUCGCUGUUGUGCUUGCGCCGCUCUCCCGCAGAGCUCUCAGCGCUGCUACAGGACCACCAAUUCACGCAGACUGGCAAGCAAAUGGCAGUGCCACAGUGUUCAAGCUCGGAAUCUGCUGGAUCAGUGCCAGCGGAGGCAAAGAUCUCACACGUCGGUGCCAACCCCUCCAGGGCUUUCAUCUCUGUUCCAAGGAAUUUGACAUUUUCAAAAAUCCGAAAUCAAUUGGAACGGAGCCGGCUUUGUCCAGCAGGUUAUUAAUGGCCCUGGAGCCGACUGAUCAUAUUUGCACAACCUUUCAAUAAACAGCUUCAACAACAACUAGGGUGGAAAAGAAAGCACACACCCCAUCCAAUCGGGACAAACUCGAAGUAUUGAUUACACCACCUCCUUCCCCAACCCCCGUCUUUCAAAACAAAUUUCGAGUCUUACAUCAGGGCAGUUGAUCAUUGCCAAACUCCCGUGUCACCAGGUCCCGACCGUGUUUUGCUGGCAUAGCGCGUUGCCUCCUUUAACUGAAGUAACUUCCAAGAUUUCCUGAGGCCAGGGCUAUAAACCGCUGAAUCCUGGGGAAGGCGGACAUGAAAGGAACAUCUGGGUGGGCCCAGGAUCUCCAGGUAGCUCUUCCUGACUGAUCACUUCUCAGCUCGUUGGACAGAUGCUGCCAUAACCCGCAGUCGGAGGGUCUGGUCCUCCCAGAGCCUGUAAACAGAAGGCACUCCUGCCGGGAGGGUGAGGAGCGGGCCCACAGAGCCUCUCCACCCGGAGAGGUCUUUAUUAGGCUUUAUUAGGCUUCUUUCUGUUUAGACCCUGUCCUGUUGGUGAGAAAAGGAAGGACAACCAUGGGAGCGAUUUCCGAGAGCCCGGUCUUCUGGUCUACACCCCCGUCCGUGCUGCCCUGCUGACCUGACAGCCUUCUUGGUCCUCACCCAUGGUGGCAGCGACAAUGACAGCCUGGUGACAGGCAGACACGGAUUUUCUCCUAUCUCUUAAUUGUUCCAAAAUGUGCUGUGUCAAUACAAGUUAAUUGCUUAACUGUGCAACACCCUUCCCACUCCUUCAGUUUCGUCGGCUUUAAUGAUUCAUUAAACCUGUUUCGCUUAUUC